Molecule: long non-coding RNA, 4291 nt
Organism: Monodelphis domestica (gray short-tailed opossum)
Lineage: Eukaryota; Metazoa; Chordata; Mammalia; Didelphimorphia; Didelphidae
Source: RefSeq, a predicted model, not a curated record
AAUGGGGUAAAUUUAUAUUCAUAGUGGGGGGGGGAAGAACAUCAAUACACUGGAAGGGUAAAGAGGUCAGAGACAGGAAAUACUCAACUUUUACGUGCUUUGAAAGUGACUCAAAGAGGGAAAAACAAUCCAAUCCAUUGGGGGCAGAGAAUAGAUUUGCACCCUAUAGGGGAGUAGAAGGGUAACAAAUGGUCUGGUGGGGAGGGAAGCAGUACAAGAGAGGGAGGGAGCAGGGGGUUAAUUUUAGAAAGACUACAGGGAAAAUAAGGGGGGGAUAAAUAGGGAGGGGGGUAGAAAGGGAAGUAAAAUAAGGGUGGGAACAAGGGGGACUGUUCAAAAGCAAACAUUGGUGUAGAAGGAAAUAGUGAAAGAAGAAAAGGCAGGAAAAGGAGAUAAAAACUGCUGGGAAAAUUGGAAGACAGUGUGGGAGAGAUUAGGUUUGGAUCAACACCUCACACCCUACACUAAGAUAAAUUCAGAAUGGGUGAAUGGCUUGAAUAUAAAGAAGGAAACUAUAAGUAAAUUAGGUGAACACAGAAUAGUAUACAUGUCAGACCUUGGGAAGGGAAAGAUUUUAAAACCAAGCAAGACUUAGAAAGAGUCACAAAAUGUAAAAUAAAUAAUUUUGACUACAUCAAAUUAAAAAGUUUUUGUACAAACAAAACCAAUGUAACUAAAAUCAGAAGGGUAGCAACAAAUUGGGAAACAAUCUUCAUAAAAACCUCUGACAAAGGUUUAAUUACUCAAAUUUACAAAGAGCUAAAUCAAUUGUACAAAAAACCAAGCCAUUCUCCAAUUGAUAAAUGGGCAAGGGACAUGGAUAGGCAGUUUUCAGAUAAAGAAAUCAAAACUAUUAAUAAGCACAUGAAAAAGUGUUCUACAUCUCUUAUAAUCAGAGAGAUGCAAAUCAAAACAACUUCUGAGGUAUCACCUCACACCUAGCAGAUUGGCUAACAUGACAGCAAAGGAAAGUAAUGAAUGCUGGAGGGGAUGUGGCAAAGUAGGGACACUAAUUCAUUGCUGGUGAAGUUGUGAAUUGAUCCAACCAUUCUGGAGGGCAAUUUGGAACUAUGCCCAAAGGGCGAUAAAAGACUGUCUGCCCUUUGAUCCAGCCAUAGCACUAUUGGGCUUGUACCCCAAAGAGAUAAUAAGGAAAAAGACUUGUACAAGAAUAUUCAUAGCUGCACUCUUUGUGGUGGCCAAAAAUUGGAAAAUGAGGGGAUGCCCUUCAACUGGGGAAUGGCUGAACAAAUUGUGGUAUAUGUUGGUGAUGGAAUACUAUUGUGCUAAAAGGAAUAAUAAAGUGGAGGAAUUCCAUGGAGACUGGAACAACCUCCAGGAAGUGAUGCAGAGCGAAAGGAGCAGAACCAGGAAAACAUUGUACACAGAGACUGAUACACUGUGGUACAAUCGAAGGUAAUGGACUUCUCCAUUAGUGGCAAUGCAAUGACCCUGAACAAUCUGUAGGGAUCUAAAAAACACUAUCCACAAGCAGAAGAUAAACUGUGGGAGUAAAAACACCGAUGAAAAGCAACUGCUUGACUACAGGGGUGGAGGGGACAUGUCUGAGGAGAGACUCUAAAUGAACACUCUAAUGCAAAUACCAACAACAUGGAAAUGGGUUUGAAUCAAGAACACAUGUGAUACUCAGUGGAAUCGUGCAUGGGCUAUAGGAGGUGAGAGGGUGGGGAGGGAAGAAAAGAAAAUUAUCUUUGUUUCCAAUGAAUAAUGUUUGGAAAUGACCAAAUAAAAAUUUUUUAAACAGUGAAAAAAUAAAUAAAAAAUAAAAAAAUAAUAAUAAUUUUAAAAAAGGGCUAAUAGCAUUUGGCAUCUUAAUCCAGCAUAUAAUCUGGUAUUUUUCUUGAUCCUAAUAUCACUUUUGCUUUUGGUGAAGUUAUAUUGUCGGACUAAAAGAGAUUUCUUUGAGAUUGGAGCUUUAGAACUUAGAAGAUAUUGGGAUCCUCCCAGUUUGGUUAAUACCAAAACCUCCCUCUUUAAUUCAUCACUACUGCUUCCCUAAGUAUACAGGAGGUUUACCUUGUCUCCCAGGUAUUAAACAAAAGCAUUCACAUUUAGCAACUGUCAAUAAUACUAGAGUGGAAAAGUCAAUGAAUCAUAAACAAUCAUGUAAUUUCAAGAGUCACAUGAGUUACAGUGUGCAUCAGGCUGGACUCAAAGGAGAACAUGGAUGUUGGCAAUGUCAGAAAAUUCACAGACAUUGUCCAGAAAGACGGGCCACUGUUCCUGUAACUAUAUAAGACAUGAUGUCCCACCUUGUAGCUUCAGAAUUACAGCAUUGUGGCCUUUUUGCGCCAUUCAUUUUUGCAGCCUGCAUCCUCAUUCUGCAUCCACAGAACUCAUAAUAUAAUGCAAUGGAAUUACUUAGGGCCUAUGAAUAUUCUCUCUUUAAUUACUGUUUAAAUACAAACUCAAGACUCUUAAUUAGGCUCAAGUCAACUCUAAGGCAGGAAUACCUCAUCUGACAGUGAAAAAGCCACUGCUUAAUUUAAAAAAAAAAUUUGUAUUUUAAGGAACAAGAUUGAUCAUAUUAUUGAUUUAACAACUACUAUUGACUGUGGUAUGACAUUUAAUAUCCUACCCAAAAACACCUGCGUUCUCUUAUAUGUACUUUCACUAAAAUCUACUUUGUCACUGCAACCUACCGCCUUUAAUGGGGCUUUUUCAAUGACUCCCAAUCUUAGUUGAGGCCAGUUUUAUAUUUGUGCAGGAGUUGCUUUUUCAUCUCUUCCUGCUGGAUGGGAUAGUGAAUGUGUUAUUGCUCAUUUAAUCCCACCCAUAACUGUGAGAAACCACUCCAGAGGUCUUGUUUCUGUGUCCUCCACUAGAAAUAAGGGAAGCAACAAUCCAAUAGCUGAGUUAAGUUUCUUUCUGAAUCCGUAACAGCACUAAUUUGGUUCGGGGGGAAAACUUACCAUACAUUAUUUAUAUGUCUAGGCUAACCACUUUUGAAAACCAGCUGGUUCUACAGUAUCUUCCAGAUGUAAACAAGACUUUGUUUCAAGAUUCCAUCAAGGUUUUGGACUAAAUGCAUAUCCCUAUUACUUGACUCUCUCCCAGUCCAGUCAUAAACAUUAUUGACUUCUAAGGAAUUGAGACUUUUCCCCUUUCAAUGAUCUUAUAGCAAUUAAUGAUGCACCUGUGAUCCCAGAUGAACCUGAUUCCAACUCUUCAUGACUAGAAGACCUUGUAUGGGAAAUACAAACAAGAGGAGACAAGCCAUACCAUGUCUCAGGGUAGCUGAACCGCUGGGAUACCAUCUUGGAGUCACAUGUUGCCCAGUUUGUGCAAAAGUUUGCCAAAGACACUAUUCAGAUUUGUAUCAAGAUCAUCUUCUCUAAAGGAAGUGUUGUUUGACCACUGUGAUGGGACCUCCAGAUUAUUCAGUCUACUUAUGUUGUUUCUGCGUCAAUGAGUACACUGUUCUUUACUAAGCAUGCAUUGUACUCAUAUAAUUGUAAUCAAUUCCCUAUAAGCUGUACCUAUGCCUCAGUCUUAUGAAUAACCAUAUAGGUGCAUCUCAGUAGGGGAAGGCCCUCUCUGGAUUUGCAUUGAGCCUCAGAGGACUGCUCUCUAGGAAAAAUAUUGUAAACUUCUUUCAUUGCCCAUAGAUUGAAAUGAUCCUCAAGAAAAUAGAGGCAUUUCCUUUAGGAUCAGAGGAGGAACUAUGGAGAAUGAGAAUCCCAGUCCCCUGACUCUUUAAAAAAGAACCCCGUUAUCACAAUUAGUAUGUAACCAAAGGAAGUGAUUAAUCUGGGACAAUACUGAAUAGGGAUUAACAGAAUUAUAGGAAUAUUAAAAGAAACCCAGUAAUUAUAUUUUAUAAAGGAAGUCUAAACUAUGCAGCAAAUCUAGUUACUUCCUUUAUAAGUUAGCAUUUGUGUUAGGGUGUGACUCAUGAAAUGAGCUAAAAACUUAUCAAUCACAUAAGGCAUGUGAAGAGUGGCUGGAGCUCUGGAAGUGUGCUGACCCCUUGACCAAGGGACAUUGUUAGUAUAUCAGACUGAAAACCAUCCUAACUAACCAGGACUCAAUAAGAACCUGAGAUACCUCCUCAAGAAGGUAGCACUGAAUCAUUUCUAGACAAUGGACCUCCUGCCCAUUAAGACCUUGGAUUGGUGGUUGACUUUUGGGGUGGGAUCUUGAACGAUGUAAUUCUAGGAUAUAAAAAGGAGAAAACUUCCACUUAGUUGUCUUAGGUCAGGACAAAAACCUAAUGACUCAGCUUUGCUGCAAGACCACUGUCUCUCAAUAAACCCAUUACUGGCUUGGA